Molecule: ribosomal RNA, 120 nt
Filed under: uncultured bacterium
Lineage: Bacteria
Description: partial 16S ribosomal RNA
Rfam family: Bacterial small subunit ribosomal RNA
Source: RNAcentral
GACGAACGCUGGCGGCGUGCUUAACACAUGCAAGUCAAGGGGGGGCCGCAAGGCUCAACCGGCGAACGGGUGCGUAACACGUGAGCGACCUACCUUCUUGUGGGGGAUAGCCGGCCCAAC